AGUGAACGCUGGCGGUAGGCCUAACACAUGCAAGUCGAACGGCAGCACAGUAAGAGCUUGCUCUUACGGGUGGCGAGUGGCGGACGGGUGAGGAAUACAUCGGAAUCUACUUUUUCGUGGGGGAUAACGUAGGGAAACUUACGCUAAUACCGCAUACGACCUACGGGUGAAAGUAGGGGAUCUUCGUACCUUUCGCGAUUGAAUGAGCCGAUGUCGGAUUAGCUAGUUGGCGGGGUAAAGGCCCACCAAGGCGACGAUCCGUAGCUGGUCUGAGAGGAUGAUCAGCCACACUGGAACUGGGACACGGUCCAGACUCCUACGGGAGGCAGCAGUGGGGAAUAUUGGACAAUGGGCGCAAGCCUGAUCCAGCCAUACCGCGUAGGUGAAGAAGGCCUUCGGGUUGUAAAGCCCUUUUGUUGGGAAAGAAAAGCAGCAGGUUAAUACCCCGCUGUUCUGACGGUACCCAACGAAUAAGCACCGGCUAACUUCGUG
RNAcentral lists this ribosomal RNA (492 nucleotides) under uncultured bacterium. RNAcentral's name for it is "partial 16S ribosomal RNA". It matches the Rfam family "Bacterial small subunit ribosomal RNA", at positions 29 to 507 of the family's 1533-position model. The record is from RNAcentral.